RNAcentral lists this long non-coding RNA (5360 nucleotides) under Equus caballus (horse). RNAcentral's name for it is "lncRNA (ENSECAG00000049757.1)". The record is from RNAcentral. Lineage: Eukaryota; Metazoa; Chordata; Mammalia; Perissodactyla; Equidae.
AAUAAAUACAUCAAUAAUAUUUAGGUAAAAUUUUUUUAAAAAUCCUUUUUUUCUUUUCAGUGUAUACAAUAUUUAAAAUAGGCUUAGUUAAAAUAGUAAUAAUUUAGAAUUGUUUUUUCUUUCCCAACUUCUAAGAAAAACAGUUGUCAUACCUAGAAGUUUAAAUCUUGAUUACAAGUUAUUGGUCCGUGACAUUUUGUUUGGCUCAUUUGAAUUUCAGAAGUCUUAGAUUUUAUAAGAUCAAACUCAAACAGUAUUACAAGUAAUCUAACAUGUGACAUUUAGCGUCUUUGGAACAAAAUGAUAAUUCUUGAACUAAAGAAUCUUUUGUACUACUUGUCCCUGUUCUAUGAUAGUUAUCUUGGUCUUGAGUUUAUUUAUGUGUAGAUUGUGUGUCAGAGGACCUAACUCACUGGAGAGGAGGGUGUGGACACUGAAUGAAGUGCUAUUUCAAAAUCCUUUACAAACUCUCAGAUGCCUGGUUUUAGGACAACUACAGCUGGUGGGGCCAAAUCUGCACCUGUGUUUGUAAAUUAAGUUUUAUUGGAACACAGCCAUGCCCUCUUAUUUACUUAAUUGCCUAUGGCUGAUUCCGCCAUACGAUGGCAGAGUGACAGAGGUCACACUGUAUGGCCUGCAAAGCUUAAACUGUUUACUAUCUGGCCCUUUACAGAAAACGUUUGUCAACCCCAGGUAUCAAUAAUGAAGGGUAGCUUUUUGUAUGUGUGUGAAAUUCUUCAGAAUGGUGUCUGAAGAAUCUUGAUUUUUUUUUCUUUAAGUGAGAAAAAUGAGUCAAUCUAACAUAUAAUAAGUUUUUAUUUUUUCUUCUUCCGAAUUAUGUUUGUUUGGGGGCCCUGACUACAGGUUAAAUGAACUUUACCACUUUUUAGAACCAUUUUUACGUCUUUCAGCCAAUCCUUUUCUGAGUACUGAAGAAAUGCUCUCAUCAGAUACUAACUUUCCUACACAAAUGCAGGAGUUCAUCAAUGAACUGUGUGCAUUUUUAUAUAUUUCACGGAUGUAUGCUACUUCCCUCAUGCAGCCCAAUGAAUAUUUUCCCUCUAAACACUCCCACCUUAGGCUCUUCCUUCCCUGGAGUGCCGCCUUGUGGUGGGCUGUGGGCCCUUCACUGACAAAGUCCUGCAGAGCUUAGUCAUCGAUGAAAGUGAAUCAGCCAGAGGGUGAUUCAUUGCAAACCGUGCUCAAGAGUAAGAAACACCAUCUUAUACCUAAGAGAUGAUGAAUCAUUAGACUGGGACAACCUGCUGGUGGAUAUAAUUUGGAAAAAAAUUCCCCAUUCUGAGUCUCAGCUCUUUCCUCCCACUGUAAAUGAGCUUAGAAUAAACAUUAAAAAAAGAAUAAAGAAAUGACUCAUUAGGACUUUUUUUGGGAUUUAAUCUCAAUUACAUUUUAGGUAAUUCAAUAUUCUUGACAAUUUGUCCUAUAUGGUAGUGUGUAUAUAUAUUAGAAUAAUGUACAUAUAUACAUUUACGUGUAUGUUCACCUAUUUUGUGUGUGUGUGCACAUGUGUAUAACUAAUUCUCAUUUCUGGUAAGCCUCGUUACUGAAAGAGUUUAAGAGAAGAGGCUGUGGCUGUGCCCUUUAUAGGUCCUUUCUGUAUCUGGACCCUCACCUAACUGAGAUGAAUUUUCCUCAGGUUGGUGUUAAUACAUCACUCAUUUAUUAGUCAACAAACAGAACCUUUGUGCAAAGAAUGACAUCCAUUGUCUUACUUUCCAUUAAAUUAUUUCUAGGUGAAAUAUGUUGAGAAAGCACAGCGAUCCACCAAUAUUCCAUUAAUUCAAAUAGCUACCAUAGUAACUGCUAAGUUCUUGUCUAAAAACCAGAACAUUCUCAAAAUUCGGAUAAAGAUUAUACCAUUUAUUUGCAACUCUUGUCAGGAGAGAAAAAUACAUAUGUACUAAGUACUCAGAUGUUUAGUUAUCCAUACUGGGAAUUAAUGGCUCCAAAAUACAGUAAGAAUGAGCAAACUUAUGAACCAGCUUAUUCUGCCAUAGCUUUCACCAGUCCACCUGGAUACAGAUAAAGAGAGAUGUGUUACUGAUAAGAAUUGACAGAUCUGGGAUAGAUUCAGCACAAAUAGCACUUUAGAGACGUUUGAAACUAUGGUAUUCAGCUAAAUGUUCCCAUAGUUUAAAGAUAUAUUCAUUCCUGAAUGUUGCUAAGGAUCUGAGUGCCGUGAACUUGCAACAGAGAUUUGUGUGGUUGCUAUGUGCAAAAGCCCGAGAGUAAGCAAGUGGGAAAUAAUAUCAAGGUGGAUAAAUUUUACUGUAGUAACGACUUAUUUUUUAUAGGAGAAAUUUGGAAAAUAAAGCAAAAAAUCUCUGGAACUUGAGUGGAAAUAUAUGUCACCCAAAAUAGACAAUACAGAAAAGGAAAAGUCAUGCUUCUGACGCCACUUUUUAUUAAUAAUAAUUUUUAUGAUAUGGACUAAUUUAAAAUGUUACAUUUUGAGUGACUUUCUAAUGCACUAUUUAGUUUGGAUAAAUUACAAGAGGCAGUGCAAAGCUCUCAGAGAAAGCAAUGUCAUCCCAUUUUUUUCUUAGUAUGACAAUACCAAAAUAUUCUCCUCACAUGAAAUACAAUGUUCUAGAGAAGUUAAUUGUAUGUCUUCUUUAAUUCCACUAUAUCAAAUAACUCUUGAGCGUGAAAUUCUUUAAACACAGCCUAGAUCCCUUGGGUUCCCCUUCGCCUGACUUACCUUUCGUUUUUAGUAGGAUAGAAAAAGGGCUACAUAAUUACUAAAGCCAUUUUUUGAUUGUGAAAUACUGACAUUAUGUUUCUUUGCCAUCCUUUUUUACUACUGUGGUCGUCUCAACCCUAGCUGCACAUUAGAAUCACCUGGAGAAGUUUUUACAAAAUAUAGAUGCCUGUGCUCUACCUCAAAUUUCUGAUUCAAUUCUGAUUCAAUUCAAGGUGGGGCAUGGGCGUUUGUGUGUGUGUUUAAACUACCUGUGUGAUUGUAAUGUGCAGCGGGGGUUGAGAAUUACUGUUCUAGACCCUUAACAAAUCCUUAACAGUUAACCACAUUGUACUGAUGAUCUGUAAAAUGAUAUAAAAGAUGUAAGUUUAGGUAGAUGCAGCAGGUUAUGACUGCAGUGUCAGAUGGUCUCAGAGCUCUCUGCAGCUCUGAGUUUCUGGGAUUCUAAUACAGGUACCACAAGAUGUCUUAUUAAUGGCUAUAUUAGCCAACUUGUUUGAGACACUUAGCAAGCAAACACCUUUAUGAGGAAGUAGACCCAAUCUGGUGGAGUGGGAUAUCUGAUUAGCAGACCUUUGGUCCUGUCCAAAAUGUCCAUAAGACAUUUGGUCCAUCAGAUAUUUGGUCCACGCCAAAAGGUCUUUGAUAUCUGGUCAUAUUUGGUCCUGUCUAAAAUGUCCAUGGAGACAUUGGGUCCAGACCAAAAGGACCAAAUGUCCUGCAAGGGUGAUAUCUGAGUUGAGGUGGCUUCACUCAGCAGAACGAUGGCCUCACCAUUCUGCCGUGAAGAAUUUCCAUAAAGCAAUCCUGUGAGAUUGGUUUUAUUCAUUUGAACUACUCAGGACACUGAGGCUUAAAGAAGGUACCUAAUUAGGAGGUGGCAGAGCCAGGAUUUGCAAAGAGAUGUUUGUCUCUUACAUGCGUUUUCCAUCUUAUCACACUAUUUCUCACACGUUGAGUGAUCUUCCAUGGCAUUAGCUGCUUGUGCUAUGAAUGCGUAGGAAUGGGAUGAUGGACGGAGAGUAUGAGAGAGCUCAUGGGUAGCUCAUACAGCCCCGGUGAAUACCUAUAUAUUUGAAUACAUUUGGACUAAUGCAAAUGAAUGAUCACUACUGAUGCGUGACGUAUAUGUCCUUAAUGUUCACGGCCUGUGAAGCUCUUUAUUCUGUUUAUGUAGAAGUUAUACUGUGGUUAUAUAAUAUAUAUAUGUGAAAGGAGUUCCUAUAAUUCUUUUCAGAAGAGAACUAUUAGAGUACCCUACUAAAGUCAUAUUUAUUGAUUGUGUUAAAUGUAAUUUAUUGAGAGUUCUGUAAAACUUGGCAUCUAAUAAUGAUUUCAAGGGAGGUAGUUCCUGAUGGUCAAUUUUUAUUAACUCAAUGGCUGGUAAUGCCUUUGCUCAGAACUUUAUAUGUCAGUUCAAGACUAAACUUAUUAAUAAAAAUGGGACAGUACCCACCUUCCAGUUACGGCAACGAUAAUUAGAAAAGCAAUUUCCAUUUACUGACGUUGUAUUAUGUGACAAGACACUGUAGACAUAUUCUCUAAUCCUCAUGAGUUAAGUGGAAUUUUUAUCUUGCAGGAGAGAAAACUAGACUUAGCUAAAAAAACUUUCCCCAAACUGCGGUGCUAGUCAGUGGUGGAGCUAAGAUUGAAACCCAAGUUAUCUAACUCCAAAACCCAUGCUUUUAGCUGUCUUCAUAGGGAGACUGCCUCCCUGUUAGUACUCUGUUUUUAAAAGAAUAAUGACAUUUCACUAAAUUUCUUCAAAGUGAUUGUUCCAAAUUAGUUAUCCUUAUGUCUUAAAGAUCAGUUUACCAUAUGGAUUCCACCUACACUUUACCCCCGCCUCCUGCCCUGGUUUUGUAGCAUGUAUUCAUGUAUGCAUGUGUAUGAAAUACAACAUACAUACAGAAAUGUAUUAACAGUGUAAAGCUGAAAGAAGUAUUGUAAAUGAGCACCCAUCUAACUACCACCAAGGCCAAGAAAUGGAACGGUGCCAGGACCCUAGAAGCCCUCUCUUUCCACUUCCAAUAAUUAUUCUUUUCUCCUAGAGGUAUCCUGACUUUAUGAAAAUCACUUCCUUGUUUUGCUUUUUAAUUUUACUACCUGAAUAUUUAUCCCUAAAUUAUGUAGUUUUGCCUGUUUUUGAGCUUUAUGUAAAUGAAUUAAUACGGUAUAUGCUCUUGCAUCUGGCUUUGUUUGUUCAACAUAUUUAGUGAUGUUUUCUGCAUAGUGAUCUUGCACUUAUUUUGUUUUAUUCCCAUGUACGUGUUAUAUUUUGAUAUUAUCAAAAUGGCAUAUUUUUCAAAAUUUUCUUUCUACCAAUUGCUGAUAUAUAAAAAUAAAUUUUUGAGCUUUGAUGUUACAUUCAGCGGUCUUGCUAAAAACUCUUUAAAAUUGUAAUAAUAGUGAUUCCUUUGAUUUUUUUCUAUGAGCACAAUCUUCUCAUCUGUAAAUAAUACCAUUGUUUUCUACUUUUUAAUCUUUCUUUCUUUUUCUUGCCUUGUUGUCAUGGCCAAGACCUCUAGCGUAGUUAUGAGUAGAAAAGAUGUUAGUGGGCAUCCUGUCUUAUUCUCUUUCCUAAAAGGGAAUGCUUUUGAUGUUUCGCCAUUAAGUAUUAUGUUUAUGAUAUGUUUUG